This 282-nucleotide long non-coding RNA is filed under the name Brassica napus (rape). Its description in RNAcentral is "long non-coding RNA (BNAP_LNC005649)". The record is from RNAcentral. Lineage: Eukaryota; Viridiplantae; Streptophyta; Magnoliopsida; Brassicales; Brassicaceae.
UAGAUUGCAGCUAGGAGGAAUAUACGAAGCCUUGUUUCUCGAGUUUCUCUGUCUCUUUCUUUUCUUUGCUUUGCUUUGAUUUCCUUAAAAAGAAUAAACUUUGAUUUUUCUACUAUUUUUUGAAGAUUAUUUUAUUUGGCUUCACGCCUAGAAGAUAUGUUUCCAGAUAGGUCCGGGACUUCGGAUAUUUGGAUCAAACCUCGGGUAAAAUCCACUCGAAUCCGGAUCUUUCGGAUAAAUGAAUUCUCUAUCCAAUAUGUACUUAGUAGAUUUCAGUUUGGA